AUACAUCAAAAGGGGUCUGAACAGCUGAUGACUAUUUCUGAUUUUGAAGUACAAGAACCAGGCUAGCUUUUUUUUUAAUUUCAAUAUAUUUCAUAUCUCUGUCAGUAGCAAUAUUAAACAACAAUAAGCUUCUUGUUUCAGUGUGCUAAGCAUAAACUGAUUCAAACUGAUAGCUGUUAAUAUUCAUAUAUUAAAAAAGGCAUCCACAUAACCUCUGAGCAAAUGCAUACAACUAUUUAAAAACUAGUGGCCAUAAAACAUCACAGAGAAACAAAAUUAUCAUAAAUAAUUAAUAAGAUAAGGAUGACAAUAAUGACAAUUACAAUGAUAAUGGUGGUAGUGGUGUUGAUGAUAAUGAUAGGAUUUAAAUAGCACAUUUUUCCCAAAUGAAGGUAAGCUUGAUGCACUUUACAAGAGACAGGGGAGCAGUAGGGAACAAGGCCAAGUGAUUGAGACAGACAUUACAUUCAAGCAGACAAUACAUACCUUCACAUGCACAGUUCACACUCCCAGGAACAUGAAGAAAUGCAGAGAUAGGAGAAUGGUGGAGAAAGGAAUAGUCAGGGUAGACCAAUUACCCUAGGUAUUUUGGAAAGAGGUAAGUCCAGACCAAAAAGCAAGGAGUGCCCCCACUUAGAAGAGACAAAACAGGACUCUGAAUACUGGGGCCAGAGAAAGAGAAUGAGUGAUGGUAAAACUUCUCCAGUCACAUACAGGAUAGUGGAAAAACUGGUGUGGACUGAGCAAGCUGUCUUGCUAGGCUGGUAUGGCCACAAAAGCUCAGACAUAUAGACUGAGCCAAGGCCAUGAACAACAUGAUAGCAAAGUAUGACAAUCUUUAAUUUAAUGCAAUCCCACACUGGCAGCCAAUGCAUAUCCUGUGGAAGUGGUAUGGUAUGAUCGGCCUUCUAUGUGUUGAAUACAAUGCAAGCAGCAUUGUUCUGAGUUCUCUGGAGCUUGUUAAGCAGGCAGCCAGGAAGAUCCACAAAUAGUUACAACAGUCAAGCCUGGACAAUACUAAUGCCAAUAUAAGCUGCUUGGUGGAAGCGACCAAGUGAUGUGUGAUGUGGCUAAUCCAUGCAGUUCAAGAAAGAGAGACUUGCAGACUGAGUUAACAUGAUUCUUGAAGGACAAUGGUGUGUUGAAAAUUACUCCAAGAUUCCUGACAGACUGGGAAAGAGUAAUGGUGGAUCAAAAGAACUGACAAUGGCAAGUGAAAAAGAAUGACACUGGACGAUACUGUGCUCCCUCUGAAAAAAUUCAUUCAUACAUUGACUUGUUCCACUGACAAAUGUUGAUGCUGGUUCACCAGUUCUAGUGCCAGGGGGAACAACUGGAUAGAUGCAGCAGUUGAUAAGACUCACCAGUAUGGCCUGUCUUGGGUGGUGAUGAGCAGGUCCAGGAUGGAAAAGCCAGUCCAAUCCUUUACAUUUGCAAGCCACUUAUUCUUCUGUUCACCUUAACAUCGACUCCCCUUAACCUUAAAGAAACUUUUCUGACAGGGUGUCAUACCAGGUCACAUGACCAAACAAGACCAGUUUGUGAUAUUUCAUUGUUGCAAGAAUGGGUUUCUGGUGUCUGGGCAGCCAUGCUCCACACAAAGUCAUUGUUUUUAUAUUCCCUGUAUGAGAUUUUCAGCAGCUUCUUCGGCACUUUUUCUCAAAUGUCAAGAUUUUCCUCUUUGUACCAGCAAACAAAGUCCACAUUUCACAGCCAUACAAAAGGAUAGGAAUUAUUAGGGACAUGAACAGCUUGUUCUAGGUAGCAAACCUGAUAGUGUUGCUACACCAAAUCCUGUCAUUCUAGGCCAUUGCUAUUAUUUAUUGUGAUUGUGAUAUUGAUAUCUGCUGCAAAAUGCCAUCUUUGGAAGUGGUGGCUCCCAAGUAUUUAAAGCUGUUAACCUCCUACAGCUGUACCCCAUUCUUGCCAGUCUCUGUUUUGCUAAUGCCAUUGACCAUCACUGUGAUCUUGGAUCAUUCUGUUUAAACUGAGGUCUUGCAGUUAAGGUCUUGCAGUUUGCUGCUGAUGUCUGCUGUCAGACUGAUGUCAUCUAUAAAGUGUGGACUGCAAAGGGGCCUCCCAGUGAUAACGGUCAUGAGGUAGUUCUCCAAUAAUAUUGAAUAAAUAAAUAAAAAAUGCUGAACAGUACUUUGCUGUCUAUAUGCAUGGAAGUGAGAGUGUAAACUUGGACAGCGGUGACACUAUAGGGACUGAAAGCGAUACAAAUGGAGAUCAGUGUGUCAGAGUACAACUGAUGAUGGCUCUAACCACAUUAACACAUAUGAAGAAGCAUAAGCUAUACUCCUACCCCCUGUACCAGAGCCUGCGACUCUUGACAGCUGCUGUCUCCCCACAGCCUUCACGUCGAUCUCUGCCUGUCUGACAAUGUCCCACAUGUAGUGUUCUAUCUCAAGGGUGAGUUUUAUCACCUUCAAGAAAUGGUCGUGUACAGAUAUUUGAUCAAUGAAUGUUCCUUCUUUCAGUUUUAUAAUUGGGCAGCACAUUUAUUACUGCCCCCUCCAUGGAGUUUGCUGAUGAGGCACAAGGUUGUUAUUGAUCUAGGCUUGACCUUUCUCUGGGUUUUUGCACUUUGUGGUUCCCAUAUCCUCUUCAAGUGGGACUGCAGACAAUAACUUUUAUCUUAAAGAGUUGCCCUGCUCAUAAAAAGAUGGAGACUGGGUACUGAUUGGUACUCUCAUUGUGCAAAAACUUCACCCAAACUUCGCCUUGUCAUCAUCAUGAUUUACUGCCUUUAUCUUUCUUAAGAUUACUCACAAGACAGUGGGAACCUUUGCUUGAGGCUCCAGUAGAGUGUAAAACAGUGUCACUUCAUUCUACCACAAAGAACUUACAUUCACAGAGCACCAGAGCACACACAGAUCCCUAAUGACCAGGUUCACUGCACACUGAGUGAGCACUAUUGCCUUUGCCAUCUGGAGGAGGUGAGAAAAAAUAUUCAAUCAGCAUCCCCCCACUCUGCUAUGCAGAAAUGAAAUGACCAGAUGGGAUAUAAAAUUGCAAAAAGACAAUAUUAGCACAGACUGCUGCUUGUCAACCGUCAAUAGCUUCCUAAAGAACACAGAACAACAGGCUGACCAACCACAGGAAGAGAUGUAGGAUUCUCUUCACAUUCCUGUCAAUGUUUAAGGAAAUUUUUUAAUUAACUGACAAGAAUCUGAAUGCGCACUCACAUUCAUCACCUACUGAUCUGGAACAUAAGAUCUAGCUAAAUCACAUCAACCCUCUUGAUCUGGUCAACAACCAUUGGUUCAUCUGUUGUCAUUUAACUGCUGGUUCUUGCAUACAAUACUUGAAUACUAUAACAAUGUGUGGAGACUUGCACUUUCUUUCACAAGUACAUGAGCAAUUGCAACACACACAAACACUUGUAUGUUUUUUUUU
RNAcentral lists this long non-coding RNA (3402 nucleotides) under Pomacea canaliculata. RNAcentral describes it as "uncharacterized LOC112560391". Lineage: Eukaryota; Metazoa; Mollusca; Gastropoda; Architaenioglossa; Ampullariidae. The record is from RNAcentral.